This 288-nucleotide long non-coding RNA is filed under the name Manacus vitellinus (golden-collared manakin). Its description in RNAcentral is "lncRNA (ENSMVIG00005014981.1)". Lineage: Eukaryota; Metazoa; Chordata; Aves; Passeriformes; Pipridae. The record is from RNAcentral.
CAAUCCUGGUUUCUACUAGCCACCAUUUAAAGGAGACUUGUGAUAAGACUUCCUUAGGUUGCAUAUUACAGAAGACUAAUUUAGGAAACAGGCAUGGUGCAGAGGCAGGGUUUUGGAGCCACGUUUCGUUACCUGCUACCACCCCAAAUACCACAGAUGUGUUGUUCAGCUCAUUUUUCUGGUGCUCCCAAAAGAAGGACUAGCCUGACAAUGCCAUUAAGAAUCACAGAAGAAAUCAAAGACUUUGGAAGUGGCUGUGAGAAAACCCAAGCAGAGCUUUGUUCCUGA